This 878-nucleotide long non-coding RNA is filed under the name Marmota monax (woodchuck). The record is from RNAcentral. Lineage: Eukaryota; Metazoa; Chordata; Mammalia; Rodentia; Sciuridae.
AGUGAUUACAUCAUUUAAGCCACAGGUGUCUCUUUUUCCUGCCUGCUCUCUGGACCCCAUGAUCUCUGGACUAUCCAUUCAGACCAGUUAGGCAAGAUGCCCUGCCCAUGGUAGAAAGGAAAUCCCUGAGGAAAUUGCAGGGCCAAGCGGGGGAGGGAGAAGACACCAGACUUGCACACUUUGCCAAGGUGGUCAGCCCAGUACCUCCCGAAAGCAACUAGAGGUGGGAUGUUAGGCAUUGACCAGGCACCGAGAAGUAGGUGCAUGAAAAAUGCCUCAGCUCAUCCCUCCUGUCCCUGAGGCCUGGCAUCCACUGAACUGAACUGAGUGUGGGCUGGGGCUCUUCCCACUUCCAGCUGCUCAUGAGCAUCUGCAUGGGGGUGGAGGGUGACUUUGCCUGAAUGAGUUCCUUGGACACAGAGCAGGGUCUGGCUGAGGACCAAUGUGGCAGGGACAGAGGAUACCUUGAAUGAUCUGGCUCCACACCCCCAAUAGCUGUGCACAGUGAAUGUGCAUUGCACAUCUAUGCAGCUUGGGUUGAUUCAUCUGUUCCGGAGGGAUCUGGACCCACGAAAGGGCAGCGUCAGGUGCCCAGAGCGGUGCUGAGUCCAGUCUAGCAGCCUCCCGCUUACCACACCCUCCCUCUGUGUGAUCUGCCAGAGCGCAGUUCCCUAGCCUAAGGAGUCGCGGUGGGAACGUCACAGAAGCGGUGACAUCACAGGCGCCAGCGCCCCCAGUAUUUCCAGCGCCCCCACAUCCCCCCGCACCAAAGAGCGCACUGGAGGCGGAGGGGCAGCAGCCACCAGUCCGCUCCCCGCCUCCCAGACAGAGCCUCGGUCAGCAUGGGGCUGACAGGUGGGAGCGAAGGGCAGGGUGGG